ACUCAAAGGAAUUGACGGGGGCCCGCACAAGCGGUGGAGCAUGUGGUUUAAUUCGAUGCAACGCGAAGAACCUUACCAGGUCUUGACAUCUGUGGGACCCUGGUGAAAGCCGGGGGUGCCUUCGGGAGCCACAAGACAGGUGGUGCAUGGUUGUCGUCAGCUCGUGUCGUGAGAUGUUGGGUUAAGUCCCGCAACGAGCGCAACCCUUGCUAUUAGUUGCUAACAGGUAAAGCUGAGCACUCUAGUGGGACCGCCUGUGACAAGCAGGAGGAAGGUGGGGAUGACGUCAAAUCAUCAUGCCCUUUAUGACCUGGGCUACACACGUGCUACAAUGGAUGGUACAGAGAGCUGCGAUCCCGUGAGGUCGAGCGAAUCUCAUAAAGCCAUUCUCAGUUCGGAUUGUAGUCUGCAACUCGACUACAUGAAGUCGGAAUCGCUAGUAAUCGCGGAUCAGAAUGCCGCGGUGAAUGCGUUCCCGGGCCUUGUACACACCGCCCGU
Molecule: ribosomal RNA, 499 nt
Filed under: uncultured bacterium
Lineage: Bacteria
Description: bacterial SSU rRNA
Rfam family: Bacterial small subunit ribosomal RNA
Source: RNAcentral